GGUAACGGCCCACCAAGGCUACGGUGUCUAGGGGUUCUGAGAGGAUGAUCCCCCACACUGGUACUGAGACACGGACCAGACUCCUACGGGAGGCAGCAGUGAGGAAUAUUGGUCAAUGGGCGCAAGCCUGAACCAGCCAUCCCGCGUGAAGGAAGACUGUACUAUGUAUUGUAAACUUCUUUUCUGCAAGAAGAACGUGACCUACGUGUAGGUCAGUGACGGUAUUGCAGGAAUAAGCAUCGGCUAACUCCGUGCCAGCAGCCGCGGUAAUACGGAGGAUGCGAGCGUUAUCCAGAUUCAUUGGGUUUAAAGGGUGCGUAGGCGGCCUGUUAAGUCAGUGGUGAAAGUUUGCGGCUCAACCGUAAAAUUGCCAUUGAUACUGACAGGCUUGAAUCCACGUGAAGUAGGCGGAAUGUGCAGUGUAGCGGUGAAAUGCUUAGAUAUUGCACAGAACACCGAUUGCGAAGGCAGCUUACUAAAGUGGUAUUGACGCUGAUGCACGAAAGCGUGGGGAUCGAACAGGAUUAGAUACCCUGGUAGUCCACGCCGUAAACGAUGUUCACUCGCUGUUUGCGAUACACAGCAAGCGGCCAAGCGAAAGCAUUA
This 606-nucleotide ribosomal RNA is filed under the name uncultured bacterium. RNAcentral describes it as "bacterial SSU rRNA". It matches the Rfam family "Bacterial small subunit ribosomal RNA", at positions 256 to 862 of the family's 1533-position model. The record is from RNAcentral.